GGGUCAGCAGGUUGGUCGUGCCACCGGUACGUACUGGUCUCACUGAUUCCUCCUUCCUGAAGAACCGUAAUGCCAUUAAUUUGGUGUUGCGGGGAAACAGGACUGUUACUUUGAAAAAAUUAGAGUGUUUAAAACAAGCUAACGCUUGAAUACAUUAGCAUGGAAUAAUGAAAUAGGACGAUCGAUCCUAUUUUGUUGGUUUCUAGGAUUGACGUA
RNAcentral lists this ribosomal RNA (216 nucleotides) under Glomeromycotina sp. Its description in RNAcentral is "partial small subunit ribosomal RNA". The stretch from base 40 to 216 matches the Rfam family "Eukaryotic small subunit ribosomal RNA", at positions 686 to 864 of the family's 1831-position model. The record is from RNAcentral. Lineage: Eukaryota; Fungi; Glomeromycota.